AGGAUAAACGCUGGCGGCGUGCCUAACACAUGCAAGUCGAACGUCCUACGCAAGUAGGGAGUGGCGGACGGGUGAGUAACACGUGGGCAAUCUACCUUUCGGUGAGGAAUACCGGCGAGAAAUCGCCGACAAUACCGCAUACGCUUCGCAAGAAGCAAAGUCGCAAGACGCCGGAGGAGGAGCCUGCGCCCGAUUAGCUGGUUGGUGAGGUAAGAGCUCACCAAGGCGACGAUCGGUAGCUGGUCUGAGAGGAUGAUCAGCCACACUGGGAUUGAGAACGGCCCAGACUCCUACGGGGGGCAGCAGUGAGGAAUUUUCCGCAAUGGGCGAAAGCCUGACGGAGCAACGCCGCGUGAGUGAUGAAGACCUUCGGGUUGUAAAGCUCUGUCGGAGGGAAGAACACAAUGACGGUACCCUCCAAGAAAGCCCCGGCUAACUACGUGCCAGCAGCCGC
RNAcentral lists this ribosomal RNA (454 nucleotides) under uncultured bacterium. RNAcentral describes it as "partial small subunit ribosomal RNA". It matches the Rfam family "Bacterial small subunit ribosomal RNA", at positions 26 to 518 of the family's 1533-position model. The record is from RNAcentral.